RNAcentral lists this ribosomal RNA (352 nucleotides) under Encephalitozoon sp. CF-ENC1. RNAcentral describes it as "bacterial SSU rRNA". It matches the Rfam family "Microsporidia small subunit ribosomal RNA", at positions 92 to 405 of the family's 1311-position model. Lineage: Eukaryota; Fungi; Microsporidia; Unikaryonidae. The record is from RNAcentral.
UAAUACUGCGAUGAUUUGAUUGAUUGAGUUUUGUAGCUACGGGAAACUGUAGGUAGGGGACGGUAGUGUAUGUGGAUUAAUUUUUUGAUGUAUGUAUGUGAGUGAAGUAAGUUGCAGGCCUAUCAACUGGUAGUUAGGGUAAUGGCCUAACUAGGUGGUGACGGGAGACGGGGGAUUAGGGUUUGAUUCCGGAGAGGGAGCCUGAGAGAUGGCUACUACGUCCAAGGAUGGCAGCAGGCGCGAAACUUGCCUAAUCUUUUGUAGUAGGAGGCAGUGAUGGGACGUGAUUUAGUGGUUGAUUGUAAAGAGAUUGACUUUGAUUGGAGGGCAAGUCGGGUGCCAGCAGCCGCGG